RNAcentral lists this ribosomal RNA (497 nucleotides) under uncultured bacterium. RNAcentral describes it as "partial 16S ribosomal RNA". It matches the Rfam family "Bacterial small subunit ribosomal RNA", at positions 28 to 507 of the family's 1533-position model. The record is from RNAcentral.
GAUGAACGCUGGCGGUGGGCCUAAUACAUGCAAGUCGAACGAACAGACGAUGAGCUUUCUCUCUUACCGUUAGCGGCUGACGGGCGAGUAACACGUGGAUAACCUUCUUCUUUUUCUUGGAGAACUUCGUGAGACCGGUUCUAAUACUGCAUCAUAUGUUCAACCGCUUGAUUCAGUAGUUCAUCACGGUUUUCGUGUCUCUUUUAGCCGAUUUCGCGUCGGAUUAGCUAGUUGGUAAGGGAACGGCAUACCAAGGCGACGAUGCGUAGCCGACCUGAGGGGGUGAUCGGCCACACUGGAACUGAGACACGGUCCAGACUCCUACGGGAGGCAGCAGUAGGGAAUAUUCCACAAUGGGCGAAAGCCUGACGGAGCAACACCGCGUGAGUGAAGAAGGUCUUCGGAUCGUAAAACCCUGUUAUUAGGAAAGAAAAGAAGUGUAAGAAACUAUGCACGUCCUGACGGUACCUAAUCAGAAAGCAACGGCUAACUACGUG